Molecule: ribosomal RNA, 429 nt
Filed under: Fusobacteriota bacterium
Lineage: Bacteria; Fusobacteriati; Fusobacteriota
Description: Fusobacteria bacterium partial 16S ribosomal RNA
Rfam family: Bacterial small subunit ribosomal RNA
Source: RNAcentral
UGGGGAAUAUUGCGCAAUGGGCGAAAGCCUGACGCAGCGACGCCGCGUGAGGGAUGAAGGUUUUCGGAUCGUAAACCUCUGUCAGAAGGGAAGAAACCGCACUGUGCUAAUCAGCAGUGCCUUGACGGUACCUUCAAAGGAAGCACCGGCUAACUCCGUGCCAGCAGCCGCGGUAAUACGGAGGGUGCGAGCGUUAAUCGGAAUUACUGGGCGUAAAGCGCACGUAGGCUGCUUUGUAAGUCAGGGGUGAAAUCCCACGGCUCAACCGUGGAACUGCCUUUGAUACUGCUUAGCUUGAAUCCGGGAGAGGGUGGCGGAAUUCCAGGUGUAGGAGUGAAAUCCGUAGAUAUCUGGAGGAACAUCAGUGGCGAAGGCGGCCACCUGGACCGGUAUUGACGCUGAGGUGCGAAAGCGUGGGGAGCAAACAGG